RNAcentral lists this ribosomal RNA (114 nucleotides) under Salmo salar (Atlantic salmon). The record is from RNAcentral. Lineage: Eukaryota; Metazoa; Chordata; Actinopteri; Salmoniformes; Salmonidae.
GCUUACGGCCAUACCAGCCUGGGUACGCCCGAUCUCGUCUGAUCUCGGAAGCUAAGCAGGGCCUGGUUAGUACUUUGAUGGGACACUGCCUGGGAAUACCAGGUGCUGUAAGCA